RNAcentral lists this ribosomal RNA (253 nucleotides) under uncultured bacterium. RNAcentral describes it as "partial 16S ribosomal RNA". It matches the Rfam family "Bacterial small subunit ribosomal RNA", at positions 524 to 776 of the family's 1533-position model. The record is from RNAcentral.
UACGGAGGAUGCGAGCGUUAUCCGGAUUUACUGGGUGUAAAGGGAGCGUAGGCGGCGCGUUAAGUCUGAUGUGAAAACCCGAGGCUCAACCACGGGAGUGCAUUGGAAACUGGCGUGCUGGAGUGCCGGAGAGGUAAGCGGAAUUCCUAGUGUAGCGGUGAAAUGCGUAGAUAUUAGGAGGAACACCAGUGGCGAAGGCGGCUUACUGGACGGCAACUGACGCUGAGGCUCGAAAGCGUGGGGAGCAAACAGG